Pieris rapae (cabbage white) is the source of this 9603-nucleotide RNA transcript. RefSeq lists it as uncharacterized. Lineage: Eukaryota; Metazoa; Arthropoda; Insecta; Lepidoptera; Pieridae. The record is from RefSeq and is a predicted model, not a curated record. The transcript is spliced from 24 exons.
CAAAUAAUCACAUUCUUUCAUUAUCUAUUAUUUAAGCGGUUUAAGUGUUGUGUAUAGACUAUAGACUGAAUGUAAUAUAAUCUAUAUGCAUAUUUGUGACGUAAAAUCGCUAAGGCAUUAGGUGUUUUUUGUAUGGCGUAACGUGUGUGCAAACAGAAAAACAUAGAUAAGAUGGCGGCGGCACCGGCUUCCUGUAUGAGCACUGAAAAUGGUUGCGUCAUGUUUGACUGUCUCGUGCACUUGUGGGAAUGGAUUGAUCCUCCUCUCCAACAGACGCAGUUUCAAAUGGACGCCAAGAAAACUAUACCAGCAACACAGCAACCGCUGACGCAACAACACAUAAUGUCACACCAUGUUCAUCCUGACCAAAUAUACACCCAGCAGCAAAUGUCAAAUCACGUAACAUCCAACCCACCUGUACAAAAUCAGCCAAAUGGCGUUAUACAUCAGCAACAACUCAUACAAAAUCAAUAUCAUGCAACCAUGACCGCUAGAUCACCCCUUUUAGAAAAUAGACAUGAAAUAUAUGGAACCAGUCAUAAUCACGAAUACGCCAGACAUUAUGGCGCAAAUGACAACUACAACUAUCAACAGCAAUCUCCAACCACUGAAAGAACAGAACAAAUUAUUCAUACAGAUCAUAAUGUUAAUCACGAUAUUGUACAUAACAUCCCGAAGGGGUACAACGCCGAAGUUUAUCAAGACUAUUUGAAACGUAACCCACCGAAAGACAAUAACCAAAUAUAUCAAAAUCAUCAACCUAUGUAUAGACCUAAUAUGAAUCAAUAUGGUUCAAAACCUUAUUUGCCAUAUUCUAAUAGAAUAGGACCUCAAAGUAAUACGGAGCUUUUGAGGAGACAGUACAAUGAAAUCCAACAGCUGAAAAUGCAACAGCAACUCCACUAUCAGAAUCAGGCCCAAAUGCACCAACAACAAAAAUUCGCCGAAAGGCAACUCCUAUUGCAACAAAUACACGGUGUGCAGCCUCCACCGAACUUACAAAACAGCAUUUACUCUGACAAUUCGUAUAGAGAUUUGGAUAGGUACGGUAGUAGAAAUGAUUUCAAAGACUAUACAGGAGAUAUACAGAAAGAUGUAGAUAAGUAUGCCAAAAAUAAUGAAUAUAGAGAGAUAGAGAGGCAAAAUAAACAGUUCCAAGAAGCGCAAUGGCAACAUAAUCAAGAAGGAUUUAAGGAGAUUGAACGGUAUAGAAGUCCACCAGAGGAGAAGACAAAUCACAGAUCCCCACCAACGGAUUUUAAUAACCAACUUAAAAAGCACACGGGUUCGAUGUCUCCGAUGAAGUCUAGCGAAUCCAGUUCGCCUAGCGUAAAGUCCCCAUCAACUGAAAGUCGCAGGAGUAGCAGUGGCCAAGCUUUACGAUCACCAACAGCGCAAAGAAUUCCUUCUGCUCCUGUUACUAUAUCCGGAAUGCUUUAUAAGCAGGGAUCCGACGGCCUGAAAGUGUGGCGGAAGAGGUGGUUCGUGCUAUCUGAAUACUGUUUAUUCUACUAUAAAAGUCAAGACGAAGAAAAACUGUUGGGGUCCGUUCUUUUACCAUCGUAUAAGGUAUCCGCCUGUACUAGUGAAGAUAAGGUAAUGAGGAAGUACGCGUUUAAAUUAGAACACGCAAAUAUGCGGACGUAUGUAUUAGCAGCGAUGGAUCAAGAAUCUAUGAUGAAAUGGGUUAAGGGACUCACUAUGGCUGCACUUAUGCAAAAUUACAGCGAACACCAACGGAAACAAAUUGAGCGAACUGCAAAACCAGAGGAUGAUGAUAUUCCUGGACCCACAUACGCAAAUGCACCUCCGAAGCCACGACGCUCAAAUGAUGGAUACAAUUCACCAGGCUCAGAUAUAUACGACCCAAAUUAUGAUCUGUUGAUCAAACCAGAGUCCCAAUACAAUCAAAACACUUCGAAGCAGCAUCAAGAUCAAUAUGGAAGUAAAGUGAAUCAAGAUGCUUACGCAAGAACUCCACAGUCGCCUCCCCAACAACCUCUGUAUCAAACAAAAAGAUCCAACGAUUUACAAAAUGUUUCUGGAUCAAACCACGAAAGGCCUCAAGAACUGUAUAAAUACCCACAAUCGCCCCCUUUUGAAACAAGACGUCUUACCGAUGAUAACAUGUAUCAAUCAAAUAACCCCUUCCUACAAAGCUAUUCAGGCCAGGAAUCUCGUAUUCCGCCUCUUGAAUCACAAAACAAUGAUCAAAAAUCCAUAAAAAGUUAUGGAGAAAAUUAUCCAGAAACAAAAACACGUAAUGAUCCCAAUGUAUAUGCUAGAGAUGUGUAUGGUGAAUUGGAUCAAAAGCCGGUUCCAACGAACAGUGUAAAUGAUCGAAUUAUGGAGAGGCGAACGCCCGAUGCAUACGGGCGCUCCACUACGAUGUCGAGUUAUAAAAACAAACAUGGUGAUUAUGAAGAUGUAUACUCCGCAUAUUCAAGUGAGAAUCCCGCUAAGUCACCUAAUUUAUCACUGCAUCGAGACAAUAUUAGUUUGUCAAGUCAAAAACAGCAACAAAAACCCAAUCAGACUCAAGAGAAAGUGUUUAGCGGGCCAUCAGUUCUUCGAAGGAAGAAAAUGCAAGCAAGUGGCAUACAACCUACCAUGCCUAGGCCACAUAGCGCAGACUUUUUGGAGUACGAAGCUAGAAACGAAUCAUUGAAUAAGACAAUGCCAACAAGAAAUAAUUUAGAUCUUCAUAAAAAUCCACAGCGGCCCAAAUCAAGUCUUGACAUAAACUCAUAUUACGACCCCAGUUCAGAAACAUAUUACUCCGAAGAGAGCUAUGCAGAAAAAAUGAGACAGUCAGCCCAAUAUUUGCAGCAACAAGGUCUUGCGCCUCGUAAUAUACAGAUACCACUCGCUAAAUAUGCGAGUGGCUUAGCUGAAAAACAAUUGCAGUCCCCCUACGCUCAUACACCAAACAACAAUUAUGAAAUGGAAUUUGGCGCAAAACCACGCGAUAAUAUCAGCUACACCUCAAAAUACAGUGACCUGGAAGGAUUAAACUCUAAUUGGAUGCUGAAAGAGAAAGAUUUAGAACAACAAAAGGAUUACUUGAACCGAAGUGGGAGUGUAAUGAGCGAUGGAUCAAAUGGAAGUUACUUAAAAGAAGCAAGUAAAUUGGAGCCUAAUUCUGAUGGUUUUAUAAGAUCUGCGAGUGCACGAUUACCUUCUACUGAACGUGAUGGUGAAAAGAAAGUUCAGCAGCGCGAGGAAUCAAUGAAACGCUUAUUGGAAUGGAAACAAAGAAUGUUGCAGUCUCCUUUGACUAGAAAGAGCACGCCUGCAACUAUUUCCUUAGCAAGAUCUCUAAAUCAGAGUCGACAAUCAUUAAGAUCAGAUCAUUACAAACCUAAAACAUACUCAAAUAAUUCAUAUAACAGCUACUCAUCUGAUGACGAAGCAUCCCUAACAAUAUCAGGUACUAACAUAGAAUCUAACGCAAACAAUAAUCAAAUUCAACAAACAUUAUCAAAGAAAUCAUUUGUCGGAAGUAAUACAUCUAUUGGACGUAGUAAUAGAGAUGGGAAUAUACCAGUAAGGGCAGUCAGCCCAAGAGUAAGAUGGGUUGAAGAGAAAGCAAAUGAGCAUUACACGUCACAACAGAUUAGUGCGUCGCAGCAAAAUCUUAAUAUAUUACCGGGCACAGAAGAAUCUUGGGCCACGAUUAGGUCCCCUUCUCGGAUUUCCCAACAGCCUGUAAGCGCUGUCAGUCCCAGAGUUAGGAGGAACACUGAAACUGACGAAAUGCAAAAGUUGCCUCGUGAAUUGGUAGACAUACCAACAGCUGGUGAACUCUUGGGACGGAGUCAUGAAGAAUUAGUUCUCCUUCUCAUACAAUUACGUCGACGGCAUGCUGCAACACAUCGGUCCAUAGAGCAAUGCUGCCACCAAAUACAUAGUAUAGAGGAAUGUCUUGGUUCUUUAAAAGCAUUAGAACGAGAGGAGAGUCUGCGAAGGCUAGAACAAUUGAAGAUGCAAUUAAUGGAGCUAGAACAACAGUAUGCCAAAAGCAAACCCCUUGUUCAAUUAGUGGAUAAUAUGGUCAAACUGGGGUCAUUGUACAAUAAACCUGGGUCAACAAUUGAACGCCUUGAGAGAAAUCAAAGGCUAAGGCAUAAGGUUCUAGCCGAGCAUGCAGUUGAGCAACAACGGUGGUUGGAAAGUGCUGCAGCUGGCAAACCAUUGGAAACAGAAGCAGCAAGAGCAAGAGUUGCUGAACUUUGGGCUUUGGAACAAGAGUUAGCUGAUGAAGCAUCAAUACUGCAAGGACUCAAAACUGACAAAGAUGCCAUAGAAUCAUUGCUUUCAGGUGUUCGUAGCAAGUUGGACACAGUGAAUUUAGAAGAUCAACUUCAUGGCGGUGGCCUUGAGGUGGAAUUGGCCAGAGUCCACACGAUGCUGGCGCACAAUUCUAAGGUUUAUAAGAAACUAGAGCAGACGGUAGCCGAGAACGCCCGAUUAGAGCGGGAAUUACAACAGUUGCGUCGGGCGUUACGAGCAAGGAGGGCUACUACACAGCCCACCCAUUCACAUCCCACACAGCCUACUCAUCCUACAGCCAUGUUGGAAGACGAAGUUUCAAGAGUCCAGCAGUUGGUCACAGCUCUUCAAAGACAGCGACAAGAGUUAAGCCGCGCCGUGAGGCACUUGACCCAGCAAUCCCAGGUCUUACAGACGACACAAGAUUCUAUGCCAGGAAAACAUCGGCCACUAUCAUUCUGGCAAGAGACGAAUCUAGAUACUGGCCAUACAAUUGACCACGGCCAGGAUUAUGAGUACGAAAGCCAUCCAGUCCACUACGGACAGACGGAACCAUUGUAUGUCGAUACUAGACCUGGCGAUAUCACCUCUCCCAUGACCAGUGAGGACAUGCAGCAUUCGGCAUUUGGUCAUCUAUCAAACGUCGAAAAGCAAGAAAUCAAAACGGUGCGUAUAGUGAAACGCGAGAGCGAGAGACGCCAAAGAGACAGAGAGCGCUCCCUUCAGCCAAUGUCCGAUUGGUCCACCAACAUCACGACCAACAUCGACCAAUUUCUCGAGGAAGAGUUGGUCCAACCCAUCAACAGCUAUCGGGCGUCCUCCGUCCCAAGAACGGAUUACUCCAAAUUCGAGGAAUACUACGCGAAGCAAAAUAAAGAGACACCAUAUUUGAAAUUCGAGAGGAACAUGGAACUCAGCCCAAAAUACCCAUCGAGCCCUUCUCUGUCUAACUACGACUACUCCAGAGAUUACAAAUAUAGUUACGACAGACUAACGCUAUCAAACCAAUACCUAAACAGCCCGACGGAAAGUUCCAGAACUUUAACCAAUGACAUUUCAAAGACCAGCAGUGUCAUGAGCCUGACGAGGUCCAACAUGGAGUUGUCGCCGAUAUUCAAAAGUGAGGCUGCGAAGGAGAUAAUCACAGAAAUGUCAGACACGCAUAAGAAUGGAUCUCUGCAUAGGAGACAGGUUCCGAAAGAGAAGAGACGACAUUAUACUGCGCCGCAUCAUUUGAGUUCGAAGACAUUGAAUGAGUUACCGAAGAAUGGCUAUAAACAAGAUGCAAUGGCUCGUUCUGUGGACGACGCAGACAUGGAGCGUGCAUUACGCGGCGCCGCGCCUGACGUUGUGAGAUCUGCUCUCCCCGCUACCAAGAUACCAGACUCCAUCGACCAAUUGCUCGCAGCGCCUCAGAAAAUUGUGAUUCCCGAGCGAUACAUUCCCGAGAAGCCCCCAGAACUAUCUCCAGAAGAACAACAAAAGAGGCAAGAGAAAGUAGAGUCGAUCAAAAAGAUGUUGUCCAGUUCCUCGGGCGACCAAACCAGCACCAAGAGCCCGGAUGGAGAAAAACGACAGCGAGAGCACUUACUACAAAUGAACCAGAUACUCGCCAAGCAGGUCACGGAGAUGAGCAAAAUUAUAGCUGGAACCAAUGAGGGACCGUCGAAUUGAUCCAUUUAUCAUACCCUUAGCUAUUACCUAAUUGGCCUCCGGAUCAUCGUGCAGCAUGGUUUUUAUGCAUUUUGUUUGAAAGCCUUGGAGGAACUGCCUCUAACAAACAACGCAGAUGAUUCGGAUCGCUCACCAGAUGUGGAAUUGCCGAUUUAUCAGCAGAGGGAGAAUUUCUUCACCUAACCUAUAAAAUUUGAACAAUUUAAUUGAGGCUAUGGCGAUAUACGUCAUUUGACAAACUUAUUUGUGGCAUUCAGUCUUUUGGCUUUGACAUGGAGUACAAUGACUAAAUGUAUGUAGUUUAACCAAAUAUCUGAUAAAAACCUCGUAUAAUCAGAAGGUUUUAAUGCUGAUACAUAAGAAUUGGCUUAUUUACUUGGAUGUUUUACUAGAGAUACGUAUCUGUCACGUCAUACAGUUAGCAGGAAGAGUGAGACAUAAUGUUGUCUCACUCUUGCAUAUGACGAUAGAAGAACUCAUAUUCAAAUGCUUCAUCAUAUCGUAAAUUAUGUUCAAUAUUUUAGGAACAUAUCAUUUAAUGCCAUAUCUACGUUAUGCUAAGGAAAUUGAUUAAUUGUUGCUUAGUAUUCUGUAUUAAAAACGCAGUACAAGUUAUAUGUAAUAUCUUGUUAGUAGCCGAAAAAAUUAAAUAAUAGUGAUUUCAAUUGCUUCAGUCUUUAAAUUCUAAGUACUGGACAGCGUAUUUCAUAAUUAAGCCAUGCUUAUAAAUCGCUCUCAACUAAAAGAGCUGUAAUAAGAAUGAUUUUUAAAAAUAGUAAAAUGCUUGAUGAAAGAAGUAGGUAGCUAGGCUCAAGGCUUUUUAUAAGUAAGGCUUACAUUUGAAUUGUGUAUAAAGACUUGUUUAUUCUAUCAACUAUGUACAUACUAUAGAUAUAUGAAGAUAUUUAAAACUUUUAUUUAGUAAUACCAAAAUGUUCUAAAUAGUUAUGUAAUAGUUCUAAUGUUCGCAACAGAAUGGCCUGCAAGUUAUUUCUUAUUUUAGUACAUUUUCCAAGACGUCAAAUGAAGACGUUGUGCUGUCAAAAAAGAUUAUUUUUAACCAAUACUUUUGCCGAGUCAACAAACGUCAAUGUCAGUUUUUGACAGUUUGAACGUGUCUAUGUUCCUACAAUUUGAAUCUCUCUGAAUAUCGCCUACAUCCGUUUAGUUUCAAAUACUUCUACGAAGCCGUUUAUUAUUCGAUACAAAAAUCUAUCGAAACCUUUUAUUAGGGCAGCUAUUCUAUUUUACGUAUUGUUUGUGCUAUGGCCUUAAAGAUUAAUAUAAAGUAUUUAGUAUUUAAGAUACACAACAGGACGAUGCCAUGUUAGUUAAUAUAGGUUUAGUUUCAUUUAGUUUUAAUGUAUGCCAUUGUUUAUCAUUUUAUUUUUUAAGUGUUAUUUAAUUUUAUGAUAUUGUAGAUUUUUGCAUUGAUACCAUUUUGUAUAAUAUCGAUUUAUUUUCAUUUAAUAAAACUAAAUUUAAGUAUACAAUUUGUUGUUAAUAAUUGUUUUCUUUUAUAAUACGGAUACCGUACGAUUAAUUAGUAUACUUUCCGGUAUUCAUAAUAUAGUUUAUUUAAUCUCUGCGAUUAUACAUCUUUUGGUUUUUGAUACAGUGUACUUGCUGACGCUGUGUCAAGUGUUUAAAGUCUCACAACCCUAUGGGGCAUGGGGCGGACAAAUAUAUAUUCUAUAUAUCUAUUGAUAUUUCUAAGUAAGCAAGCAGAGUUAGAUUUAGAAGGCCUUUUGUAUGUCAAGUACAUACAUGUUUGACGUUCGUAUUACUAAGCGCUAUAGUAGUGUCUAUUUAUUACAACAUAUUUGACAACUGUCAGCUACGUACACUUCACGUUCGACGUUCACUGACGCAUCAAUUUUACGACGAAAUUGUUGAUUAAAUGUUUAGAAUGUGUAUCUAAAAGUAAAUCAUAAAGGUUACAGUAUUACAAUAAAUAUGUAAUCGUAACCAAUGAAGUUAGCAAUCGUGAUGUUCUAUCCUUAAUAUGCGAGUAGCAAGGUUACAUUCUUCAAUUUUGAUGAAAUGCCAAUGGGUAUUAAAUCGACUCUAUUAAACUAUCUUCUACCAUGUUUUCUCCUUAAUCAAUUGCGCGUUGAAAAAAAAUCUAUUGGUAUACAGGUUUCUUACAACUUUAGAAUUGAAAGUCGCUUAGCCGCUGAAAAGGUAUAUUACGUUUUGUUUUAAGAAUAAUUAAUGCCGAUAUCAUACUGUACUUUCAAACAAUUAUUCGUACUGCAGCCGUAUUACUUAUUACCUUUGCACAUUGAUCGUCAAUUGUAGUUUAAAUGCUUCUAAAUCGCUUCAAGUAGAAGCAACGAAUUGGUAAUCUUUGUGAUAAACAUAUACUUCAUAUACAAAUUUAUUAAUUGUAGUAACGUAGGCCCCUAUAAAUAGCCUAUUAAAGCUUUAAAAUACUUAUGACUAUUGUAUUAUAAAUUGUCUUAUCGACGCAAAACGUAAACAUUAAAAUGUAUUUAAAUGGACCUUGAAAUGUUUCUCUGGUAUAAUGAUAGUAUAUUGAUUAUUUUGAUGUACAAAACUAGACUUAAAUCGUUGAAAUUGACAAUUAAAAAAUUUAAAAAUUGUUUAAGUUAAGGAACCUUAAUAAAUAUAUACACACUGUUCAAUAUUACAAAACCUUUUCAUGACAGUGAUAAGUAAAAUUAAGUACUGCGCUACCUACAUGAAAUAAUUGUCAACUUUAAUAAGCGCGUUACUCAAGCAAAUAAACCAAUAUAUUAUAUAUUUUGAUAUAAGUUAAAACUGAAUAUAUAAAAAUGUGAAUGAAGGACGGUGAACACCUCUACUCUCUAGGGAGAAUUCUCGACCGAUCCAACCACUGACUGGACCGAAGGCUUUAGUGGCUAAGGUCGAUAAGUUGUUUAUCCUUAGAGGUCGGAUUAAUUUUUUUAGCGUCUUGCAGAAAAUGACGUCAUGGCAGUAAUUGUAGAAUGUAGGUGUCGCUACAUAUAUACAUUUAUUUAAUCUGUUUUCAAUAGUCUAGUUUGAGUACAUCAUAAAUAGCAAUGUCUGUACUAUAUUUUAACUAUUCAUAACCACAUAUUAUCGUGUAAAUAGGGUAUGAUUACUUAUUGAAUUCCUUUUAAUUUUUCAUACUACAUAUAUUUAAAUGAUUUUUAUUUAAAUACUCGUUUAACUAAAUACAUCUUCAAACUAACUAAAUUAAUUUUAUUCUAAGGAAAUGGUAGUUCUAUCUCUAUUUAUUAUUAUAUAUAUUUCUCUAGUAUCUAAUAAUAAUUGGUUCUCUCAUAAUCGAUGUACCGAUUUAGAUUUUUCCAAAAACAAAAGGCAACGAUUAUCCCGGCUUUUACCUUACAUUAUUCAUAUGAAGUGUUAUUGUAAAAUUAUACUGUAUGUUAUAUAUUUAUAUUCCCUACAUUUCGUUUCUAUCCUCAUUUAGGUCUUCUGUAUGAACAAUUAACUACUAAAUUUAAUUCAGACUUCGCGGAUAUCAGGUAGUAGAAAAUUUUAUGAACUUAUAGACUGAUGUGUUAGUACCACUCUAUCGACUGUCCUAUUUGGAUUAUUUAUACAUAGUCAAUUAUGUACUUAACCUAUCCUUGUUAUGCAAAGAUUGUUUUAUAAUGUAAUAUUAAUGUAUUGGAAAUAAAAUAU